Molecule: long non-coding RNA, 1920 nt
Filed under: Heterocephalus glaber (naked mole-rat)
Lineage: Eukaryota; Metazoa; Chordata; Mammalia; Rodentia; Bathyergidae
Description: lncRNA (ENSHGLG00100050734.1)
Source: RNAcentral
CUCGGCUGGUCUCCCAAGAGGAAGUGGCUGGGUCCCUGGGGGAGAGGACACAGGCCUCAACUCAAGGACAGACCAAAGAGCAAGGCCAGAGUAAACUCUCAGCCUACUGAGGGGCCGAGAGUGGUGCAGGGAGGCUACUCAGGAGGCUGAGGCAGGAGGACUUUGAGUUCGAGGCCUGUUUGCACAACUUAGAGAGAUCCUGUCCGUGAGCUUAUUGAAAGGGACGUGAUCUGGCCUUUUCUAGAAAUCUAAUCCUUCCCAGAUGGAGUCCAGUUCUCUCACCCCAGCCCCCUGCAAGGCAGGGCUCCAGAAAGCAGGAGGGUUUUGUCUGCCAGAUCUGAGACUCAGCUGUCACUCACCAUUGAGGGGAUGUGAGGGGUGGAUCGCCUUCCUGAACCUCGGUUUCCCCAAAGAUCCAUGAGCCAACAAACACAGUACUGGCGGAUUGAACCAAGGGCCUUCACACAGCUACAUUCUCCGACCUUUUUUAUUCUUUAUUUUGAGACGGAGUGUAAGAAGAUAAAUUACCCAGGCUGGGCAAAAAUUUAUGAUCCUUCUGCCUCAUCCUCCCAGAGUACUGAGAUUACAGGCAUGGACUACCACACCCAGCUGGUCUCUUCUAAAGGGAAAGAAACAAGGAAGCUCUGAGACUCAGCCAUGUCUCUUCAAUGGUUUUGGAGAAAGCCCUGGCCUCUCCCUAUGGGGGAAGACGGUAGCUCUAAGACAGUGAAAAGCCUUGGAGAUGCCCACCCUGGGCCAACAAAGGGCUCCAGGCUAACCAUGAGAAAAACAGCAGACAAGUCUCAACUCCAGGACAGCUGCAAAACACCUGACCAGCGCUCCUCGAAACUGUCCAAAACAAGGAAAGUCUGAGAAACUGUCAGAAUCAAGCCUUGGCUAGCCUCGAAUUUGUGGCAGUCCUCCUGCCUCAACCUCCUGAGUGCUGGGAUUAGAGGGGACAGAGGACCGGCCCUCCAUGAGAAGUGCAUCUCCCCUCACUGUGUGUGCCCCGGGGCCAAACAUCUAAUUCGAGGCAUCUGACGUUGGCUCAUGCAGAUACGGAAUAACCGCUUUCCUAAGGAAGAAGCAGGAGGGUAAGACCUCCAAAUCGGAGUUCUUGCUUCAUUUAUUUUUCUGGUAUGUUGAGAAAUUUGUGCCCAGCUGCAUUUAUUUAUAACAAACCAGAAUGAGAAGUCCUGUGUCGUCUUAUUUGUUUAUUGCUGAAACAAAAAAAUCUAUAAGUAUUGUCAAAGAAAGAACAGACUGAAAUUUCACUAUGACUGGGUUUAAAUGGAACCCAAAAUCUUGAGUAAAACUUUAAUCACAAAAUGAGUUUAUGAAAUGCGUGUGUGUUUGGCUGUGUGUCUAUCAUUGUUUGUGAAUGUAGCAUGUGUAUAUAGUAGAUGUUGAUGUACAAAGCAUGUGUUCAUGCUGAAUAGAUGUGACUGGAGUGUGUGCGGGUCUAGUGUGUGCAUGUGGUAUGCAGUGGGUGUUCGUAAACCACAAGAGUGCAUGUUUGUGUUCAGCAUGGUGUGUGCAAUCUGCAUGCUGUAUGUAGUAAACAGAAAAGGUGGUACAGUGUGUGUGUGUGUGUGGGACGUGUGUGCACAGUCCAUGUGUACAUGGCCCAUGACAUGUGAAUUCUGGGUACGCAUGUGGUGUCCUUGCUCUGACCCACUGGCCUUGAGCAGGCCUGGGAAUGACACAAAGUAGUGAAGCAGCUUCCUGGAGGACCAUGCAAGGAAUGAGAGUGAAGAGCCCUGUAACAUUUUCAGGCCUUACUCUUCCAGGAGGAAAUCAGGAAUUUCUGGAGUCUGCUUUACACACCCUGCAAAACCCAAACUAGCAGAAUGACUGCAGUGUGGUGGAAACCCCACUGCCAGCUCAUGAAGCCCAAUUGAAAAGCUUGUAGUUUCCGAG